Molecule: non-coding RNA, 107 nt
Organism: Capsicum annuum
Lineage: Eukaryota; Viridiplantae; Streptophyta; Magnoliopsida; Solanales; Solanaceae
Source: Rfam
UGAUAAUAAUGAUGACAAUUCAUGAGCAUACCCUUGAAUUUUUCCCAAGCUUGGUAAAUAUUCUCGCCAUCUUUCUAUCUAAAACAUAAAAUUUCACUUCUCAAAGA